RNAcentral lists this unclassified non-coding RNA (195 nucleotides) under Archaeorhizomycetes sp. Its description in RNAcentral is "partial contains small subunit ribosomal RNA, internal transcribed spacer 1, and 5.8S ribosomal RNA". The stretch from base 1 to 46 matches the Rfam family "Eukaryotic small subunit ribosomal RNA", at positions 1786 to 1831 of the family's 1831-position model. The record is from RNAcentral. Lineage: Eukaryota; Fungi; Ascomycota; Archaeorhizomycetes.
AAGUCGUAACAAGGUCUCCGUAGGUGAACCUGCGGAGGGAUCAUUAACGAAUGGUCUCUUUUGACCUUCAAACCUCAAACCCGUGGAAGUGAAAUGUGCUUCGGCCUCGCUUGGGGCCGCUUUUAUGCAGGACAAAGUUUUGUGUCUGAAUCUGAUUUAUGAUGAAAACUUUCAACAAAGGAUCUCUUGGCUCUC